This 497-nucleotide ribosomal RNA is filed under the name uncultured bacterium. RNAcentral describes it as "partial 16S ribosomal RNA". It matches the Rfam family "Bacterial small subunit ribosomal RNA", at positions 28 to 507 of the family's 1533-position model. The record is from RNAcentral.
GAUGAACGCUGGCGGCGUGCCUAAUACAUGCAAGUCGAGCGAACGGACGAGAAGCUUGCUUCUCUGAUGUUAGCGGCGGACGGGUGAGUAACACGUGGAUAACCUACCUAUAAGACUGGGAUAACUUCGGGAAACCGGAGCUAAUACCGGACAAUAUUUUGAACCGCAUGGUUCAAAAGUGAAAGACGGUCUUGCUGUCACUUAUAGAUGGAUCCGCGCUGCAUUAGCUAGUUGGUAAGGUAACGGCUUACCAAGGCAACGAUGCAUAGCCGACCUGAGAGGGUGAUCGGCCACACUGGAACUGAGGCGCGGUCCAGACUCCUACGGGAGGCAGCAGUAGGGAAUCUUCCGCAAUGGGGGAAAGCCUGACGGAGCAACGCCGCGUGAGUGAUGAAGAUCUUCGGAUCGUAAAACUCUGUUAUUAGGGAAGAACAUAUGUGUAAGUAACUGUGCACAUCUUGACGGUACCUAAUCAGAAAGCCACGGCUAACUACGUG